RNAcentral lists this ribosomal RNA (495 nucleotides) under uncultured bacterium. RNAcentral describes it as "partial 16S ribosomal RNA". It matches the Rfam family "Bacterial small subunit ribosomal RNA", at positions 28 to 507 of the family's 1533-position model. The record is from RNAcentral.
GACGAACGCUGGCGGCGUGCCUAAUACAUGCAAGUAGAACGCUGAAGGAGGAGCUUGCUCUUCUGGAUGAGUUGCGAACGGGUGAGUAACGCGUAGGUAACCUGCCUGGUAGCGGGGGAUAACUAUUGGAAACGAUAGCUAAUACCGCAUAACAGUAGAUGUUGCAUGACAUUUGCUUAAAAGGUGCAAUUGCAUCACUACCAGAUGGACCUGCGUUGUAUUAGCUAGUUGGUGGGGUAACGGCUCACCAAGGCGACGAUACAUAGCCGACCUGAGAGGGUGAUCGGCCACACUGGGACUGAGACACGGCCCAGACUCCUACGGGAGGCAGCAGUAGGGAAUCUUCGGCAAUAGACGGAAGUCUGACCGAGCAACGCCGCGUGAGUGAAGAAGGUUUUCGGAUCGUAAAGCUCUGUUGUAAGAGAAGAACGAGUGUGAGAGUGGAAAGUUCACACUGUGACGGUAGCUUACCAGAAAGGGACGGCUAACUACGUG